Molecule: ribosomal RNA, 776 nt
Filed under: marine metagenome
Description: bacterial SSU rRNA
Rfam family: Bacterial small subunit ribosomal RNA
Source: RNAcentral
GCUCAUGGACGAAAGCCAGGGGAGCGAAAGGGAUUAGAUACCCCUGUAGUCCUGGCCGUAAACGAUGAACACUAGGUGUCGGGGGAAUCGACCCCUUCGGUGUCGUAGCUAACGCGUUAAGUGUUCCGCCUGGGGAGUACGCACGCAAGUGUGAAACUCAAAGGAAUUGACGGGGGCCCGCACAAGCGGUGGAGUAUGUGGUUUAAUUCGAUGCAACGCGAAGAACCUUACCAGGGUUUGACAUCCUGCGAACCUCUUAGAAAUUUGAGGGUGCCUUCGGGAAUGCAGUGACAGGUGGUGCAUGGCUGUCGUCAGCUCGUGUCGUGAGAUGUUGGGUUAAGUCCCGCAACGAGCGCAACCCACGUUUUUAGUUGCCAGCAUUUAGUUGGGCACUCUAGAAAGACCGCCGGUGAUAAACCGGAGGAAGGUGUGGAUGACGUCAAGUCAUCAUGCCCCUUACACCCUGGGCUACACACGUACUACAAUGCUACGGACAAAGGGCAGCAAACUCGCGAGAGCUAGCAAAUCCCAUAAACCGUGGCUCAGUUCAGAUCGUAGGCUGCAACUCGCCUACGUGAAGUAGGAAUCGCUAGUAAUCGCAGGUCAGCAUACUGCGGUGAAUACGUUCCCGGGCCUUGUACACACCGCCCGUCACACCAUGGAAGUUGGCCAUGCCCGAAGUCGUUACUCCAACCCUUGUGGAGGAGGACGCCGAAGGUGGGGCUAAUGACUGGGGUGAAGUCGUAACAAGGUAGCCGUACCGGAAGGUGCGGCUG